Molecule: long non-coding RNA, 981 nt
Filed under: Homo sapiens (human)
Lineage: Eukaryota; Metazoa; Chordata; Mammalia; Primates; Hominidae
Description: HSALNT0013293
Source: RNAcentral
CCUGUCUCCUCAUUCUUUUUUUUUUUUUUGAGACGGAAUCUCACUCUGUCACCCAGGCUGGAGUGCAGUGGUGUGGUCUCAGCUCACUGCCAGCUCCGCCUCCCGGGUUCAUGCCAUUCUCCUGCCUCAGCCUCCCAAGUAGCUGGGACUACAGGUGCCCACCAACACACCUGACUAAUUUUUUGUAUUUUUAGUACAGACGGGGUUUCACCGUGUUAGCCAGGAUGGUCUUGAUCUCCUGACCUCGUGAUCCACCCGCCUCAGCCUCCCAAAGUGUUGGGAUUACAGGUGUGAGCCACCGCACCCGGCUACCUGUCUCCUCAUUCUUAAAAGAUGUAAACCCCUCCCAACACUGGAAGAGGAAACAGAGACCAGUGCGCUGUGCAGUCUCACUUAACUAGAAUGCACAACUCCUGCUUUUAUCACCAUUCUGGGAAAUCCCCGCUGCAUUUCAUGGCCAGGGCAGCACUUCAUAGUUGGAAAAGGAUGGUGUGGACUUGCCGCAGAGGCCCUAGAGAAGGCCAUCCUGUGUUCCUGCUCUCCUUCUCAUCCGGCUUCUACCCCCACCCCACCCCCCAACAAAAACGCUACAGGUUAUAAGAUCUACAUUCUGAACCUGGCUUUCAGGGGCUAGGUGUGUUGUGUGUUGCACAGCUCUAGAGGUAGCAUAGCCUUGAUCAUCGGGGUGGAGGUGUCUAUUUACUAUAUGUUGCAGCAGAUGGCAGUGAAGUGUCUUGAGGAAGAGGUGUUUUUAUCAUUUGAAGGUUAUGGGGUGUAAUAAUAAAGACUGCAAUUCACAGACCUUGAGCCUAGCAGGCCAAUGCCAAGGGCAGAACUGUAGGCUCCCACAGCACAGUUCCACAGAGGAAGGGGGCUGGUUAGUAAGGGGAAAGAAGGAUAGAAGACUGCAGUAAAUGUAAACAGCCGUAUUUUCAACAUAAUUUACUACAGGUCUCUGAAGUGUAUAUAAAAUGUUUUAGU